Molecule: transfer-messenger RNA, 355 nt
Filed under: Bacilli
Lineage: Bacteria; Bacillati; Bacillota
Also listed under: 1 other name
Description: CAG-533 sp902767375 Standard tmRNA
Rfam family: transfer-messenger RNA
About the family: Bacterial tmRNA, also known as 10Sa RNA or SsrA, is named for its dual tRNA and mRNA-like properties. Its role is to liberate the mRNA from a stalled ribosome. To accomplish this part of the tmRNA is used as a reading frame that ends in a translation stop signal.
Source: RNAcentral
GGGGCCGUUUUUGGCUUCGACAAAAGAAUAUUUUGCUUUAUGUGCAAGUGGUUGCUGACCUAAUCAGCAAACAGUUAAAAUAACUGACAAAUUUAAUUUUAAUACUGAUCUAGCAUUUGCCUAAUUAAAGGCACGGAUCACUGGCUAUAAAUUAAUUCUACAGAGUUUAUAGUUGGUUCAUAAUAGUAGAAUAUAUUUAAUAAAUUGCUUAGUUUAUUGAACGAAAUUUAAUAAGCUCAGUUAGUGAUUCUUUAGAUAAUUUGCGGGGCACUAAUGAAAUAACAAAUUAUCUAAACUUGUAGAGCAUAUUGAGAAAUACUUUUGGACACCAGUUCGAUUCUGGUCGGCUCCACCA